This 443-nucleotide ribosomal RNA is filed under the name uncultured bacterium. RNAcentral describes it as "partial 16S ribosomal RNA". It matches the Rfam family "Bacterial small subunit ribosomal RNA", at positions 338 to 795 of the family's 1533-position model. The record is from RNAcentral.
CCUACGGGAGGCUGCAGUGGGGAAUAUUGGGCAAUGGGCGCAACUCUGACCCAGCCACGCCGCGUGAAGGAAGACGGCUCUCGGGUUGUAAACUUCUUUUGUCAGGGACGAAGCAAGAGACGGUACCUGCUGAUUAAGCCACGGCUAACUACGUGCCAGCAGUCGCGGUAAUACGGCGGUGGCAGGCGUUAUCCGGAUUUAUUGGGUUUAAAGGGCGUGUAGGCGGGAAUGUAAGUCAGAUGUGAAAACUAGGGGCUCAACCCAUAGCCUGCAUUUGAAACUGCAUUUCUUGAGUGCUGGGGAGGCAGUCGGAAUUCGGGGUGUAGCGGUGAAAUGCGUAGAUAUACGGAGGAACACCAGUGGCGAAGGCGGAUUGCUGUACAGUAACUGACGCUGAGGCGCGAAGGCGUGGGGAGCAAACAGGAUUAGAUACCCCUGUAGUC